Molecule: ribosomal RNA, 468 nt
Filed under: uncultured bacterium
Lineage: Bacteria
Description: partial 16S ribosomal RNA
Rfam family: Bacterial small subunit ribosomal RNA
Source: RNAcentral
GACGAACGCUGGCGGCGUGCUUAACACAUGCAAGUCGAACGGAAAGGCCCUGCUUUCGUGGGGUGCUCGAGUGGCGGACGGGUGCGUAACACGUGAGUAACGUGCCCUUGACUUUGGGAUAACUUCAGGAAACUGGGGCUAAUACCGGAUAGGAGCUCCUGCUGCAUGGUGGGGGUUGGAAAGUUUAGGCGGUUGGGGAUGGAUUCGCGGCUUACCAGUUUGUUGGUGGGGUAGUGGCUUACCAAGGCUUUGACGGGUAGCCGGCCUGGGAGGGUGACCGGCCACAUUGGGACUGAGAGACGGCCCAGACUCCUACGGGAGGCAGCAGUGGGGAAUAUUGCACAAUGGGCGGAAGCCUGAUGCAGCAACGCCGCGUGCGGGAUGACGGCCUUCGGGUUGUAAACCGCUUUCGCCUGUGACGAAGCGUGAGUGACGGUAAUGAGUAAAGAAGCACCGGCUAACUACGUG